ACUAAUCCUUUUGGUUUAUGCUAACAAAACCUAUUUUUGUAUAGCAAAGAUGGGAUUGAUUAUUCUACUGUUUUGCCCCCUAAUCUUAUGCAAAGGAUGUUUUCAUGUUUCGUUUUCCCAUGGUAUAAAUUUGUUUUAGAGUAGUUUUGUCAAAAAACGAAUGCUCUGAUUUUGUCGUCAUGCAAGAUUAGCUUGACAUUUUUUGAAAACUUUUUAAUACAUGUCAAGGAAGAUACUUUGGCUUCACUUUAAACCAGAGGGCCUUCUAAGAGAAAUCUUGUAGCCUCAAAGCCAAUGGGAUAGAAUUCCUUGCGAAUUCGAGUUUCGGCAAUCAUACCAUCGCUUUCGAAAAAGCAUGUUCCUCAAUAAAGUGGCUUCAGCUCCUUCACCUCUCCAAUAGGAAUGGGUAAACUGAUUGUCCCAAGAAGAAAGUUAAUGAAAACAAAGGUCAAGAAUAUCUUGGUUUAACAGAACUGAGGGAAAAAAAUAAAUUCUAGGAGAAAAGGGCAACCUAUCUGACUAAUCUGACUAAUAAGAAAAAGGGGGUGAGAUAGGCCUUUGAAAGAGGAACACAAACCUAUUUACGCUUUGUCUCCAUCUGAUGUUUUCUCUCUAAUUCUUCUUGUAAUUAUGAUCUUGUCCAUGCUGUGGUCAAUCAGGAGCCCAUUCUGUAACCCUUUGGCUUAGUGGGGAUUUCUCAUCUCCCAUUCUGUAACCCUAAACCUUCUGUAUAUCUUUCGAGCAUUAUAUGUUCGUUUGUUUCUUAUAAAUUCUUUUUUUUGGAAUCUAUGGCUUGAGAAGAACAGCAGAAUUUCCGAUAGUUUGGGAAAUACUUUUUUUCCUUUUAAUUCUGAAAUUGUUUGGUUUCUUAUAAAAAAAUAGAAUCUUAAUAAAUUCUUCGUACUUUCUAAUAUCCCGUAGAAAGGAAUAUAUUAAGUUUUUUUUCUUCUUCUUAUUCCUUAUUCA
This is a long non-coding RNA of Cucurbita maxima (winter squash), 966 nucleotides long. RefSeq lists it as uncharacterized. The transcript is spliced from 2 exons. Lineage: Eukaryota; Viridiplantae; Streptophyta; Magnoliopsida; Cucurbitales; Cucurbitaceae. The record is from RefSeq and is a predicted model, not a curated record.